AGGUGGGAAAACUGGAAAGAUUGAAUGUCCUUUGGAGUUCACAGAGGUUUGGCAGUGGGAGGAGAAAAACAAAACGAAGCAUAGUGGGAGUGUUGAACAGACUUUCCCAAGAUCCCCAGAUCCUGAAAUUCAAGAAAAUAUUUGUCAAAGUAUUAGCUGAGUGCAAGCUAAGGUAUCAAAAUAGUGAAUACACACACCAAGGAAUAAUCUUUGCAAAAAUACUUUGUCUCAAGACAAAUAGAACACAGCAGACUUUAAUAAUCAAAACAGAAACACCAACAUAGAGAACCUAAGGAACGAAGAGAAUCUGAUUUCCAAAGUCACCACAUUAUAAAAAUCAAAUGCCAAUCUUCAACAACAACGAAAACAACAAAAUUCACAAGACACAUAAAGAAACAGGAAAAUGGCUCAUUCAAAGGAAUAAAGUGAUUAAUUGGCAUAAACUGUCCCUGAGAAAGCCCAGAUACUAAAGUGACUUGACAUUUGCUCAACUAGAUAAGAGUGAGUUUCGACAAAGAAGUAAAGGAAAUUUGGAACAUAAUAUUUUAUCUAAAGGAGAAUAUCAUCAAACAAAGAAAUUAUAUAAAAGAACCACACAAAAAUUCUGGAGCUGAAAAGUACAGCAACUGAAGUUUUUAAAAUUACUUGCAGAGAUCAACAACGGAUUUGCAGAUUAGUGAACUCGAAGAUAGGAAAAUUGAAAUUAUUGAGUCUGAGGAGCAGAAGAGAAAAAGGAAUGAAUAAAAGUGAAUAGAACCUAAGGAAACUGAGGGACACCAUCAAGCAGAUCAAGGAGAAGAGAGAGGUAAAAAAGAGUGGUAAGAUAAAUAAUAGCCAAAUACCUUCCAAAUAUGAAGAAAGACAUGAAUAUACAGAUAAAAUAAGCCCAGCAAUACCAAAUUGGAUAAACCCAAAAACAUCUACACCAAAGCACAUUAUAAUCAAAUUGUUGAAAGCCAAACAAUGACAGAAUCUUAAAAGCAAUAACAGCAAGGCAAUUCAACAAAAUAAAAGGGAUGUUCAAUACAAGUAUCAGCCAAUUUCUCAUCAGAAGCCUGGAGGCAAGAAGGCAGAGAAAUAAUAUAUUUAAAGUGCUGAAAAAAGCCAGGCACGGUGACUCAUGCCUGUAAUCCCUGCACUUUGGGAGUCUGAGAUGGGUGAAUCACUUGAGUCAGGAGUUUGAGACCAGCCUGGCAACCAUGGCAAAACUCUGUCUCUACUAAAGAUAGAAAAAUUAGUCGGGUGCAGUGGCAUGCACCUGUAGUCCCAGCUACUUGGGAGGCUGAGGCAGGAGAAUCACUUGAAUCUGGGAGGCAGAGGUUGCAGUGAGCUGAGAUCAUACCACUGCACUCCAGCCUGGGCAACAGAGUGAGACUCC
RNAcentral lists this long non-coding RNA (1378 nucleotides) under Homo sapiens (human). Its description in RNAcentral is "long intergenic non-protein coding RNA 1965". Lineage: Eukaryota; Metazoa; Chordata; Mammalia; Primates; Hominidae. The record is from RNAcentral.